Molecule: unclassified non-coding RNA, 176 nt
Filed under: uncultured Coniochaetales
Lineage: Eukaryota; Fungi; Ascomycota; Sordariomycetes; Coniochaetales
Description: sequence contains ITS1
Source: RNAcentral
CAAGAAGCCGAAAGGCUACUUAAAACCAUCGCGAACCCAUCCAAGUUGCUUCGGCGGCGCGGAGGCCCUCGGGUCGCCGCAGCCCCGGCCUCCCCGGAGGUCGAGGGGCGCCCGCCGGAGGUACGAAACUCUCCUGUAUUAUAGCGGCAUCUCUGAGUAAACAAACAAAUAAGUUA